UCUGCAGCGGAGAGGAGUGGCCGCGGGACCCGCAAGUCAGAGCCGUCCAACUACCCGCCGUCGGGUCUGAUUCCAAAUCCACUCGCGUGCAGCCACAAAUCCUCGCCGCCGCCGGCCCUCGGACCCAGCCGACGAGAUGCCGCCUUCCAGCUCCACCCCCCGCCUCGCGCUGCCCGCCAUGACCCGGUCCCAGGCGGACCCCGACCUCCCGUCCCUCAUCUCCGACCUCACCUCCCCGCUCCUCCACUCCCCCGCCGCAUCUUCCGGCGCCGCCGCCCCCGUCUUCUCCUCCUCCUCCCUCUCCAUCCCCGCCCCCGCCGCCGCGGCGCCCAAGCCAGCAGUCCCCACCCCUCUCGCGCGCGCCGCCAUCGGGGCCUGCGCGGGCGCCGCCGCGGGGGCCUUCACCUACGCCGCGCUGCUCCCCAUCGACGCCGUCAAGACCCGCCUCCAGGCCGCCGCGGCUCCCUCCGCCACCGCCUGGCAGGUCUUCCUCGACAUCCUCCGCACCGACGGGCCCCUCGGCCUCUACCGCGGCCUCUCCGCCGUCAUCCUCGGCUCCGCCUCCUCCUCCGCCGUCUACUUCGGCACCUGCGAGCUCGCCAAGUCGCUGCUCCGCCCCCACCUCCCGCCCUUCCUCGUGCCCCCGCUUGCCGGCGCCAGCGGCAACAUCUCCUCCUCCGCCAUCAUGGUCCCCAAGGAGCUCAUCACGCAGCGCCUCCAGUCCGGCGCCGCCACAGGCCGCUCCUGGGAGGUGCUCCUCCACAUCAUCCAGACCCACGGCUUCUUCGGCCUGUACACGGGAUACGCCGCCACGCUCCUCCGCAACCUCCCCACCGGGGUGCUCAGCUACUCCUCCUUCGAGUACCUCAAGGCAUUCACCCUCAAGAGUCGCCACAAGGAGAGCCUCACGCCAGGGGAGAGCGUGCUCUGCGGUGCUCUUGCAGGGGCUAUAUCCGCCGCACUCACCACUCCGCUGGACGUCGUCAAGACGCGCCUCAUGACCAGGGUCGGAACGGAGGGCAGCCGCACCGUGCUGGGGACGAUGAGGGAGGUGGUCGCCGAGGAGGGGCUCAUGGGCCUGUCCCGUGGCAUUGGGCCCAGGGUGCUGCACAGCGCGUGCUUCGCCGCGCUAGGCUACUGUGCCUUUGAGACCGCAAGGCUUGCCAUUCUGCAGUGGUACCUUGAAGGUUGCCAAAGGAAGGCUGCAGCACAGCCACAGAUGGAGCCUCGAGUUGCUGCUGCUGCUGCUGCCACUUGAAUUUGUCGUCUCUUCCUUCAUUCCUUGAGGGAAGGUACCCACUGGAACCACCGCAAUAGCCAUAGGGUAUUGCACUCCAGAUGCAUGGAAAUCCCAACCUUUGGCUUUUGUAAGGCCCCAGCCGUAUCUCCUGGGAUCAAACCAUUAGGGGUUCAAGAGGUUCCAGAUUCGCAAGGAAAAACUAGGGAAGUUCAUCUUAGUUGUGUAGCCAUGUGCGGCAUGUCUGGCGGUCAAGUAAUAUGCAUCAAUGGUGUGAUUGGAGUGAUCACCGGUGGCGACAGCGAGUUGCGGACCACCUACGCAGUUUGUAGUGAAACGGUUGGCCAAGUGAUCAGGUGUUGGCUUGCUAGCAGAUGACGGGAGGAGACCAAUAGGAUGGUAGAUAUGAUCCCAAUCAGGAGACAAUAGUUUGCUCCCCCCUUUUGGAGUCUCAACGCACCUUUUGACUUUCCUUAUCUGUUGUCUUGCAUGUUGGCCACUGUGAUGAAUGUGAUAUUUCUUCAAGUAACAAUGGAGAGCAUUGGACUACCAACCCAUGUCCAAACUGUGUUCCGUAUGUCAGAGGUUCCAGAACCAUACAUCCGCCGAAGAGCAGUCAGACAUUUAGAGAAAGGAAGGGUUGUUAUAUUUGCUGCUGGGCCAGGAACCCGUUCUUUACAACUGAUACAGCUGGUGCUCUUCGAUGUGCAGAAAUCAAUGCAGAGGUAGUGCUCAAAGCGACAAAUGUAGAUGGUGUGUACGAUGCGGAUCCCAGGCAUAAUCCCAACGCCCGUCUUAUUGAGACUCUGAGCUAUCAUGAAGUGACAUCAAGAGAUCUCUCAGUAAUGGACAUGACUGCAUUACAUUAUGCCAGGAAAACAACAUUCCCGUUGUUGUGUUUAACUUGCAAAAGACUGGAAACAUUGCAAAGGCAAUUGUUGGUUUGUGGUAAGAAGGUUGGUACCUUUAUUGGCUGCACAAGAACGAAAUCAGGAACAAAAUGGAAACACACAGCGUGGAGAAAGAAGAUUGGUUAACGAGGUGUGAGCUCAACAGCUUCACGAGCUGUGGGCUCCCCCCUCUUUUCUUAUUUAGUUUACGCGUAGGAGGUUUUAGGGGAUUGAAGCUGGGAUUAGGAUAGAUUAGUGAUCAAAAUUCUAAUAGCUGUAAUAUUGGAAGGAGACACUUAGGGACAAAAUUUUCCAGCCGAGUGCUGCUAUCCAUCCUGUGUACAAUACUGUUACGUAAUAAAGCAAAUCUGUAUAAAGAUUGCCUGCAGCGCACCUGAAGAACAA
Panicum virgatum (switchgrass) is the source of this 2532-nucleotide RNA transcript. It is a transcript of the gene named protein MITOFERRINLIKE 1, chloroplastic-like, with no coding region annotated. The record is from RefSeq and is a predicted model, not a curated record. Lineage: Eukaryota; Viridiplantae; Streptophyta; Magnoliopsida; Poales; Poaceae. The transcript is spliced from 7 exons.